This is an RNA transcript of Chrysochloris asiatica (Cape golden mole), 1022 nucleotides long. It is a transcript of the gene named tubulin, beta class I pseudogene, with no coding region annotated. The transcript has a single exon. The record is from RefSeq and is a predicted model, not a curated record. NCBI's taxonomy places the organism in Eukaryota, Metazoa, Chordata, Mammalia, Afrosoricida, Chrysochloridae.
ACCCACUCACUUGGUGGGGGCACCGGCUCUGGAAUGGGCACCUUGCUCAUCAGCAAGAUCCGUGAAGAGUAUCCUGACCGCAUCAUGAACACCUUCAGUGUGGUCCCCUCACCCAAAGUAUCUGACACUGUGGUUGAGCCCUACAAUGCCACCCUCUCUGUCCACCAGUUGGUAGAGAACACUGACGAGACAUAUUGCAUCAAUAAUGAGGCCCUCUAUGAUAUCUGCUUCCGCACCCUCAAGCUGACCACACCAACCUACAGAGACCUGAACCAUCUUGUCUCAGCCACUAUGAGCGGUGUUACCACCUGUCUCCACUUCCCUGGUCAGCUUAAUGCCGACCUCCGCAAACUAGCAGUCAACAUGGUGCCCUUCCCACGUCUCCACUUCUUCAUGCCUGGCUUUGCCCCACUAACCAGCUGUGGGAGCCAGCAGUACCAGGCCCUCACUGUGCCUGAGCUCACCCAACAGGUCUUCGAUGCCAAGAACAUGAUGGCUGCCUGUGAUCCCCACCAUGGCCAGUACCUCACUGUGGCUGCCGUCUUCCGGGGCGGAUGUCCAUGAAGGAGGUGGAUGAGCAGAUGCUCAACGUACAGAAUAAGAAUAGCAGCUACUUCGUGGAAUGGAUCCCCAACAACGUCAAGACAGCUGUCUGUGACAUCCCACCCCGUGACCUCAAGAUGGCAGUCACUUUCAUUGGUAACAGCACUGCCAUCCAGGAGCUCUUCAAGCGCAUCUCAGAGCAGUUCACAGCCAUGUUCCGUCGGAAGGUCUUCCUCCACUGGUACACAGGUGAGGGUAUGGACGAGAUGGAGUUCACCGAGGCUGAGAGCAACAUGAACGACCUCGUCUCUGAGUACCAGCAGUACCAGGAUGCCACCGCAGAAGAGGAGGAGGAUUUCGGUGAGGAGGCCGAAGAGGCCUAAGACAGAGGCCAUCACCUCAGGCUUCUCAGCUCCCUUAACCUUCUUCCUCAGCUGCCCCUUUCCUCUCCCUCAGAAUUUGCAUUUUAUGCCUCUGUC